Molecule: long non-coding RNA, 704 nt
Organism: Lagenorhynchus albirostris (white-beaked dolphin)
Lineage: Eukaryota; Metazoa; Chordata; Mammalia; Artiodactyla; Delphinidae
Exons: 6
Source: RefSeq, a predicted model, not a curated record
GGACGUUGAAUUCAAUUCAACAGCUGUCAGAAGACUUUCUGUGAGUCCGGGACUGUUCCAGCCUGAGGGGAUAAGAAGGAAGUCAAGAUGAGCCCCUGACACUCGCAGGUUGGAGGUGGGGGGCACAUCCGAGCUCAGCAUCGCCACCCUUCCUCCUCUGGCCACUGCAUGUAUCGCUCUGAUGUGUCUCUGAAGAUGGGGACCCUGCCUCUCUGGAUGGCUGUCAUCAGCUGCCUUCUCCUGGAAUAAAUGCUUUUGUGGAAGCAGAGGACCUUGAGCCUGGUCCUGAGGGGUGGAGAGUCAAAGUCACCAGGAAACAGAGGGUUCUCAGCCAGCGCUAUUGUGCUCGCCUGUAUCAGGAAGCGGAGCUUCUGAGUUAUCGUUAAAGUGAAGAAAUGUCAUUAUUUGUUUGAACCUUCUUCUCGUCAUAAUCUUUGGAAAGGUUAUUAUAUUCAAUAGUUACACCUGACACACCUGUAAAGUCUUCUAAUUUUCGUGAAAUGUGAAGUCUUCGAAUUUUCAAUCCACUCUUCUGUAGAAGCAAAGGAGCAUUCUCCAGCACCAAUUAUUGAUCAAACCCCAAAUCGAUCAACAAGUAUGCAGCCCCAAACUGUCAGAUAAAAAGUACUACAGGGCUUCCCUGGUGGCGCAGUGGUUGAGAGUCCGCCUGCCGAUGCGGGGGACGCGGGUUCGUGCCCCGGUCC